Molecule: ribosomal RNA, 301 nt
Filed under: uncultured bacterium
Lineage: Bacteria
Description: partial 16S ribosomal RNA
Rfam family: Bacterial small subunit ribosomal RNA
Source: RNAcentral
CAGUCGCCACGGUAAUACGUAGGUGGCGAGCGUUGUCCGGAUUUAUUGGGCGUAAAGGGAGUGUAGGCGGUCUUUUAGGUCUGAUGUGAAAGCCCACGGCUCAACCGUGGAGGGUCAUUGGAAACUGGGAAACUUGAGUGCAGAAGAGGAGAGUGGAAUUCCACGUGUAGCGGUGAAAUGCGUAGAGAUGUGGAGGAACACCAGUGGCGAAGGCGACUCUCUGGUCUGUAACUGACGCUGAGGAGCGAAAGCGUGGGGAGCGAACAGGAUUAGAUACCCCUGUAGUCCCUGUCUCUAUACC